This 715-nucleotide ribosomal RNA is filed under the name uncultured bacterium. RNAcentral's name for it is "bacterial SSU rRNA". It matches the Rfam family "Bacterial small subunit ribosomal RNA", at positions 92 to 823 of the family's 1533-position model. The record is from RNAcentral.
UCAGUGGCGGACGGNUGAGUAACGCGUGAGUAACCUGCCUUUCAGAGGGGGAUAACGUUCUGAAAAGAACGCUAAUACCGCAUAAGAUUGUAGUUUCGCAUGGAGCAGCAAUCAAAGGAGCAAUCCGCUGAAAGAUGGACUCGCGUCCGAUUAGAUAGUUGGCGGGGUAACGGCCCACCAAGUCGACGAUCGGUAGCCGGACUGAGAGGUUGAUCGGCCACAUUGGGACUGAGACACGGCCCAGACUCCUACGGGAGGCAGCAGUGAGGGAUAUUGGGCAAUGGGGGAAACCCUGACCCAGCAACGCCGCGUGAGGGAUGACGGUUUUCGGAUUGUAGACCUCUGUCCUCUGUGAAGAUAGUGACGGUAGCAGAGGAGGAAGCUCCGGCUAACUACGUGCCAGCAGCCGCGGUAAUACGUAGGGAGCAAGCGUUGUCCGGAUUUACUGGGUGUAAAGGGUGCGUAGGCGGAUUGGCAAGUCAGAAGUGAAAUCCAUGGGCUUAACCCAUGAACUGCUUUUGAAACUGUUAGUCUUGAGUGAAGUAGAGGUAGGCGGAAUUCCCGGUGUAGCGGUGAAAUGCGUAGAGAUCGGGAGGAACACCAGUGGCGAAGGCGGCCUACUGGGCUUUAACUGACGCUGAGGCACGAAAGUGUGGGUAGCAAACAGGAUUAGAUACCCUGGUAGUCCACACUGUAAACGAUGAUUACUAGGUGU